CCUACGGGACGCAGCAGUAGGGAAUCUUCCACAAUGGGCGAAAGCCUGAUGGAGCAACGCCGCGUGGGUGAAGAAGGUCUUCGGAUCGUAAAACCCUGUUGUUAGAGAAGAAAGUGCGUGAGAGUAACUGUUCACGUUUCGACGGUAUCUAACCAGAAAGCCACGGCUAACUACGUGCCAGCAGCCGCGGUAAUACGUAGGUGGCAAGCGUUAUCCGGAUUUACUGGGUGUAAAGGGUGCGUAGGCGGGGAAGCAAGUCAGAAGUGAAAUCCAUGGGCUUAACCCAUGAACUGCUUUUGAAACCG
RNAcentral lists this ribosomal RNA (305 nucleotides) under uncultured bacterium. RNAcentral's name for it is "bacterial SSU rRNA". It matches the Rfam family "Bacterial small subunit ribosomal RNA", at positions 338 to 635 of the family's 1533-position model. The record is from RNAcentral.